Molecule: ribosomal RNA, 447 nt
Filed under: uncultured bacterium
Lineage: Bacteria
Description: partial 16S ribosomal RNA
Rfam family: Bacterial small subunit ribosomal RNA
Source: RNAcentral
CCCAGACUCCUACGGGAGGCAGCAGUGGGGAAUAUUGCACAAUGGGGGGAACCCUGAUGCAGCGACGCCGCGUGGGUGAAGGAGUACUUCGGUACGUAAAGCCCUAUCAGCAGGAAAGAAAAUGACGGUACCUGACGAAUAAGCCACGGCUAACUACGUGCCAGCAGCCGCGGUAAUACGGAGGAUGCGAGCGUUAUCCGGAUUUAUUGGGUUUAAAGGGUGCGUAGGCGGAAUGCCAAGUCAGCGGUAAAAGCGCGGGGCUCACCCUCGCUCCGCCGUUGAAACUGGCGUUCUUGAGUGGGCGAGAAGUAUGCGGAAUGCGUGGUGUAGCGGUGAAAUGCAUAGAUAUCACGCAGAACUCCGAUUGCGAAGGCAGCAUACCGGCGCCCAACUGACGCUGAAGCACGAAAGCGUGGGUAUCGAACAGGAUUAGAUACCCGGGUAAGA